UACGUAGGUGGCAAGCGUUGUCCGGAUUUACUGGGUGUAAAGGGCGUGCAGCCGGGCCGACAAGUCAGAUGUGAAAUCCGCGGGCUUAACCCGCGAACUGCAUUUGAAACUAUUGGUCUUGAGUACCGGAGAGGUCAUCGGAAUUCCUUGUGUAGCGGUGAAAUGCGUAGAUAUAAGGAAGAACACCAGUGGCGAAGGCGGAUGACUGGACGGCAACUGACGGUGAGGUGCGAAAGCGUGGGGAGCAAACAGG
This 253-nucleotide ribosomal RNA is filed under the name uncultured bacterium. Its description in RNAcentral is "partial 16S ribosomal RNA". It matches the Rfam family "Bacterial small subunit ribosomal RNA", at positions 524 to 776 of the family's 1533-position model. The record is from RNAcentral.